This 490-nucleotide ribosomal RNA is filed under the name uncultured bacterium. RNAcentral's name for it is "partial 16S ribosomal RNA". It matches the Rfam family "Bacterial small subunit ribosomal RNA", at positions 30 to 507 of the family's 1533-position model. The record is from RNAcentral.
AUUGAACGCUGGCGGCAGGCCUAACACAUGCAAGUCGAACGGUAACAGGAAGACGCUUGCUUCUUUGCUGACGAGUGGCGGACGGGUGAGUAAUGUCUGGGAAACUGCCUGAUGGAGGGGGAUAACUACUGGAAACGGUAGCUAAUACCGCAUAACGUCGCAAGCCCAAAGAGGGGGACCUUCGGGCCUCUUGCCAUCGGAUGUGCCCAGAUGGGAUUAGCUAGUAGGUGGGGUAACGGCUCACCUAGGCGACGAUCCCUAGCUGGUCUGAGAGGAUGACCAGCCACACUGGAACUGAGACACGGUCCAGACUCCUACGGGAGGCAGCAGUGGGGAAUAUUGCACAAUGGGCGCAAGCCUGAUGCAGCCAUGCCGCGUGUAUGAAGAAGGCCUUCGGGUUGUAAAGUACUUUCAGCGGGGAGGAAGGGAGUAAAGUUAAUACCUUUGCUCAUUGACGUUACCCGCAGAAGAAGCACCGGCUAACUCCGUG